This 253-nucleotide ribosomal RNA is filed under the name uncultured bacterium. RNAcentral describes it as "partial 16S ribosomal RNA". It matches the Rfam family "Bacterial small subunit ribosomal RNA", at positions 524 to 776 of the family's 1533-position model. The record is from RNAcentral.
UACGUAGGGUGCGAGCGUUAAUCGGAAUUACUGGGCGUAAAGGGUGCGCAGGCGGUUCUGCAAGUCAGGCGUGAAAGCCCCGGGCUUAACCUGGGAAUGGCGCUUGAAACUACAGGACUGGAGUAUGGCAGAGGGAGGUGGAAUUCCACGUGUAGCGGUGAAAUGCGUAGAGAUGUGGAGGAACACCGAUGGCGAGGGCAGCCUCCUGGGCCAAUACUGACGCUCAUGCACGAAAGCGUGGGGAGCAAACAGG